RNAcentral lists this long non-coding RNA (688 nucleotides) under Eutrema salsugineum. RNAcentral describes it as "long non-coding RNA (ESAL_LNC000660)". The record is from RNAcentral. Lineage: Eukaryota; Viridiplantae; Streptophyta; Magnoliopsida; Brassicales; Brassicaceae.
AGGACCGUUAUUCCAAGUCUGUAAGAUUGUGUGCUCUUUAGGAAGAAAAGAUGGAUCCACCUUGAUUUGUGCACCCAGCAAAACAUCUUCCCAGUAGACAGCUGUUCGGUUCUGCGACAGGAUGUAAGGUAAUGUUGAGUUUAUGUACUUUUCAAGAAGCUGGCUUAGUGUUCCACCAGAAGACAGGAAGGAAUUGAUUGCAGGAUCUGUUUUCCAGCAGCCUGGGAUAACUUCAUCUCCACCGCCAUGGUAGAAAGGUUCAGGGAAUUGCUUAGCAACAUCUUGUAUGACGUUUUUAACAACUUCAUAUGUCUUUGGACUCAGUGGGUUAAGCUGACCAGUGCCAGGUUCACUAGCUAACCGCUCGUCCCAACUUUUUCCAGCAGGCCACCAGAACAUGUUGCCACAUGUGACGAUCUCCGGGUAAGCUUCUCCCCAUGAUCCUGUAUGGCCUGUGAAGUUACCAUUAGAACCAAGCAAAGUUCUUGUACAAAAGCGAAUCAAGCAUUAACUGACUCACCAGGAGUGUCAAUUUCAGGAAGAACUCUAACGCCGUGCUCGAAACCGAACUGAACAAUCUUUGAGACAUCCUCGGGAGUGUAUACCAUGUUUGGUCCAUAAGAUCCCUUUGCAGCGAGUGAAGGUUCAGAAGGAAGUACCAAUGGAAAAGAUUGCGAAUCAGUGAUGU